CCUACGGGGUGCUGCAGUAGGGAAUCUUCCACAAUGGGCGAAAGCCUGAUGGAGCAACGCCGCGUGGGUGAAGAAGGUCUUCGGAUCGUAAAACUCUGUUGUUAGAGAAGUAAGUGCGUGAGAGUAACUGUUCACGUUUCGACGGUAUCUAACCAGAAAGCCACGGCUAACUACGUGCCAGCAGCCGCGGUAAUACGUAGGUGGCAAGCGUUAUCCGGAUUUAUUGGGCGUAAAGGGAACGCAGGCGGUCUUUUAAGUCUGAUGUGAAAGCCUUCGGCUUAACCGGAGUAGUGCAUUGGAAACUGGGAGACUUGAGUGCAGAAGAGGAGAGUGGAACUCCAUGUGUAGCGGUGAAAUGCGUAGAUAUAUGGAAGAACACCAGUGGCGAAAGCGGCUCUCUGGUCUGUAACUGACGCUGAGGUUCGAAAGCGUGGGUAGCAAACAGGAUUAGAUACCCCAGUAGUC
This 465-nucleotide ribosomal RNA is filed under the name uncultured bacterium. RNAcentral describes it as "partial 16S ribosomal RNA". It matches the Rfam family "Bacterial small subunit ribosomal RNA", at positions 338 to 795 of the family's 1533-position model. The record is from RNAcentral.